CUGGUUACUGUCCAUGGGAUAUAAACUUUCUGUUUAUCAUGGAAAACGAAAUGCGCAUUGGUUUUUUGUGUGAAUUUAGUAGGUGUUUUGAAGAAAGCUUUAUGAUGUGAGUUUGCCUCACCAACCAUAUUGAUUUCCUCAAUCGAUCAAAGAAGUCUCCAUACGGCAUCGAGGAUGCCUCUAUUUUAACUUGACGUGCCGAGGAUUCUAUCACAAGGGAGCCAGCGAGCUAUCGGGAUCGAAGGAGAUUAACGUAACAUCGAAGACGUGCUUCAACAACAAUUAUGUCGGGUUAUGUAUCUUCAUCAAGAAAAUCUGAUAAACACAAAUAUUGGCCACAGAUGACUAUGCUGCGAUACUUACUUCAAUGACACGAGCAGAAUAAAUGCAGCGAUAAGAAGAACGAGAGAGGUUGAAUAUCCUAUGAAAGAUACACGUUUGAUCUUCCGCAGAGAUCUGGACAUAAUUUGGAUGUACUCCAGGUAAUUAUCGCUGAAACAGCCCAAGUAAGCCGCAGGUUGCCACGUUCCCUCCGGCGAACACGUCCGAAAAACAAAUUCUGCAAGUUAUUCCGGAACAAAGAGACAGGCUCUCAAACAGAUGGAGUCUGACAAAAUAUUUCGAGUUUCACGUCUGGUACAGCAGUUAGGCGUUGCUCCAAAAUGAAGGAUAUCUACAAUGGAUUUCGAGCCUAAACGACUUCACGUAUCCUCGAGCUUAGUAGCCAAGUACUUAGCGCAGUCAUAACGACAUUCUGUAUAUUUCAUUACUAACCAGAUCGUUCAAACUGACGAGAAACUUUCGUUCGCGGGUACGGACAAGUGGGACUACAAAACGAAGGCAGACAAGUUUGCAAAGUGAAUCGCCCUGACGCGUCCUUCGGUCAUCUCGAUUUGAUUCUUUUCAAGCGAAAAGUUUACGUAAUAAGCCCACGAUCACCCAAGCCCUGAAAAGAUGUUGGAUGCUGUAUCAGUGAAGUCCUCGUGUAACUCAUCCGUUCAUCCGGCUCAAUCGCUAUUUUUUCAAGGAAAAAACCCACAAAUAUAUCAAAGAUCUUCUACUCGCCAAGCACCAAACGUCAAAAUCCACUUGAUAUUUUGUGACCCGGUCCACCACAUCUGGGCAAGGCUGUCUGUACACAAACUAACCCGGUCCUACUUUUCGUACGGACGCUAUACACUUAC
Long non-coding RNA from Varroa destructor (honeybee mite), 1184 nucleotides. RefSeq lists it as uncharacterized. The record is from RefSeq and is a predicted model, not a curated record. Lineage: Eukaryota; Metazoa; Arthropoda; Arachnida; Mesostigmata; Varroidae.